CGACCCUGUGCGGGAGAGUCCUCCGAGUGAGUUCGACGGAGGCGCCGAAGGAGCAAAUCCUCCCCGGAAUCUCUCAGGCAUACGUACCGCACGUGGUGA
Molecule: regulatory RNA element, 99 nt
Organism: Streptomyces sp. Mg1
Lineage: Bacteria; Bacillati; Actinomycetota; Actinomycetes; Kitasatosporales; Streptomycetaceae
Rfam family: Glycine riboswitch aptamer
About the family: This family represents the bacterial glycine riboswitch.
Source: Rfam